AGACAUCUAUUCUGUCGGAAUCGUAGGCUUGUGAACCAAAUCGACUCCGUUUAUCAUAUAAUUAUUUUUCGGAAUUAAUUGGCGUCUGAAAAUAUCGGGAAGAAUAAAGACAAAGAUCAGCUGAAAUAAAGACUAAUAAACAGACCUACGAAAAAACGGAGGAACAUGGUAAAAAAUGAAGACAAGGAUCGAUUAAGUUUAAGGAAUCGAGAAGUUCAAGAUCAUCAUGGACAAUUAUCGAUGGGUAUCGU
This is a non-coding RNA of Cinara cedri, 251 nucleotides long. The record is from the annotation of a GenBank genome assembly. NCBI's taxonomy places the organism in Eukaryota, Metazoa, Arthropoda, Insecta, Hemiptera, Aphididae.